UGGACAGUGCCCUCCCCCCGGUGGUAGCAA
RNAcentral lists this non-coding RNA (30 nucleotides) under Mus musculus (house mouse). The record is from RNAcentral. Lineage: Eukaryota; Metazoa; Chordata; Mammalia; Rodentia; Muridae.